RNAcentral lists this ribosomal RNA (388 nucleotides) under uncultured bacterium. Its description in RNAcentral is "bacterial SSU rRNA". It matches the Rfam family "Bacterial small subunit ribosomal RNA", at positions 420 to 806 of the family's 1533-position model. The record is from RNAcentral.
GGAUUGUAAACUUCUUUUAUAUGGGAAUAAAGUGCACCACGUGUGGUGUUUUGUAUGUACCAUAUGAAUAAGGAUCGGCUAACUCCGUGCCAGCAGCCGCGGUAAUACGGAGGAUCCGAGCGUUAUCCGGAUUUAUUGGGUUUAAAGGGAGCGUAGGCGGAUUGUUAAGUCAGUUGUGAAAGUUUGCGGCUCCACCGUAAAAUUGCAGUUGAUACUGGCAGUCUUGAGUGCAGUAGAGGUAAGCGGAAUUCGUGGUGUAGCGGUGAAAUGCUUAGAUAUCGCGAAGAACUCCAAUUGCGAAGGCAGCUUGCUGGACUGUAACUGACGCUGAUGCUCGAGAGUGUGGGUAUCAAACAGGAUUAGAUACCCUGGUAGUCCACACAGUAAA